Molecule: ribosomal RNA, 253 nt
Filed under: uncultured bacterium
Lineage: Bacteria
Description: partial 16S ribosomal RNA
Rfam family: Bacterial small subunit ribosomal RNA
Source: RNAcentral
UCCGGGGGGUGCAAUCGUUAUUCGGAAUCAUUGGGCGUAAAGGGCGCGUAGGCGGCCCCUUAAGUCAGAUGUGAAAGCCCUCAGCUUAACUGAGGAAGUGCAUUUGAAGCUAAGGGGCUUGAGUAUGGGAGAGGGAAGCGGAAUUCCUGGUGUAGCGGUGAAAUGCGUAGAUAUCAGGAGGAACACCGGUGGCGAAGGCGGCUUCCUGGACCAAUACUGACGCUGAGGCGCGAAGGCGUGGGGAGCAAACAGG